UACAGAGGGUGCGAGCGUUAAUCGGAAUUACUGGGCGUAAAGCGUGCGCAGGCGGUUUUCCAAGACAGAUGUGAAAUCCCCGGGCUCAACCUGGGAAUGGCAUUUGUGACUGGAAGGCUAGAGUGUGUCAGAGGGGGGUAGAAUUCCACGUGUAGCAGUGAAAUGCGUAGAGAUGUGGAGGAAUACCGAUGGCGAAGGCAGCCCCCUGGGAUAACACUGACGCUCAUGCACGAAAGCGUGGGGAGCAAACAGG
RNAcentral lists this ribosomal RNA (253 nucleotides) under uncultured bacterium. Its description in RNAcentral is "partial 16S ribosomal RNA". It matches the Rfam family "Bacterial small subunit ribosomal RNA", at positions 524 to 776 of the family's 1533-position model. The record is from RNAcentral.